CAGCCUGUGUCAGUGUACAGCCCCGCCUCUUACAAUACCGAGACAGACAGUCAGUCCAGCAGAAUGGUUGGAGGAGACAUCUGACGAAGCUAAAGCAACUGAGACUGUCUCCGUAGUCUAGUGGAUAGAGCGACUGCCCAGACAACAGAAGGUCUGUAGUCCGAUCCGCGGCCACAUCCGCGGCAUUAAGGAGCUAAGACAAGAACUGGUUGGCUUGGAAUGGCAGUGCACCGACAAUUGACGGACAACUUCUUGACGUGCAGCAUCUGCAUGGACGUCUUUGAUGACCCCUGUACACUGAUACCCCGAAGUGCAUCCUAUGUGGUGAUGAAGGAGCGGCACCUCCAGCUACUGCUUGGUGUGCUGACUGUGACAUCAGUCUUUGUGAGGGAUGCCAGAAGGCUCACAGACGUAUUCCUGCCACUCGUCACCAUGACGUAUCUGACUUGUCCACAGAGGUCAAAAUCAACCAAAGACGCAAACCAUUCUGUAAGCAACAUCCAGAUCAAAGCAUGCAGUUCUACUGCAAAGAUUGUAAGAAACUGCAAUGUCAACUGGAAGUCAAAUGGACAUCUAUGAGAUGUACCUGUGGUGUGAGUCAGAGCAGUUUCCCACCGUAUACGACCCAGAUUCAGAUAUAAAAUAUGAACUGAGAGAGAAAGUAUGUUUUAUGCAUGAUUGUGAAGAUAUCUCUAACAAUAUACACGAGGUGAGCUUGGGUAAAAUUGAUACCAUAUAUGAAGAUGUGUUUGAUUCUACAUCGACAUCAGUUCUGCACGACACAGUGGACAUACAAACAGAAGAUGAGACAAGUUUACCUCAUGUUUAUGACGUGGCAGUGUUCAAUGAAGGCGGUACAGACCAUAGUUGUAACUGAUAAUAACAAGUGCGUCAAAUCCUUCUACACACGCAAUACUCAACCCUGUCAGAGUAAGCUCUCUGUUCAGAGCCCCCCUCGGCGGAUUGCAAAACUUAAUGCCCAUCACAUGGCCGUGACCCUUCCCGAGACAAGGGAGAUAAUAGUGAUUGAGGUGAACCCUGACCUUAUUCUCCAAUCAUACAUUUCAACGAGGAAGAAGUACUUUGGUCUGACGGCCAUGAAACCGACUACCCUGACAGCAGGAUCCGGGUCGCCUCCCUGUGUGGACAUCCUUUUGUUAAGCUGUGUCCCCCUUUGUAUUGACAUGUGCAUAAAAACUAUUGUAUUUA
This 1209-nucleotide unclassified non-coding RNA is filed under the name Haliotis rufescens (red abalone). RNAcentral describes it as "uncharacterized LOC124110540, transcript variant X1". The record is from RNAcentral. Lineage: Eukaryota; Metazoa; Mollusca; Gastropoda; Lepetellida; Haliotidae.